UACGGAGGAUCCGAGCGUUAUCCGGAAUUAUUGGGUUUAAAGGGUGCGUAGGCGGCCAUUUAAGUCAGCGGUGAAAUUUCGCAGCUUAACUGUAACAGUGCCGUUGAUACUGUUUGGCUAGGAUUUGGUUGUAGUGUGCGGAAUGUGUGGUGUAGCGGUGAAAUGCUUAGAUAUCACACCGAACACCGAUUGCGAAGGCAGCACACUAAGUCAUUAUUGACGCUGAGGCACGAAAGUGUGGGGAUCAAACAGGAUUAGAUA
RNAcentral lists this ribosomal RNA (261 nucleotides) under uncultured prokaryote. RNAcentral's name for it is "partial 16S ribosomal RNA". It matches the Rfam family "Bacterial small subunit ribosomal RNA", at positions 524 to 784 of the family's 1533-position model. The record is from RNAcentral.